RNAcentral lists this ribosomal RNA (409 nucleotides) under Escherichia coli. Its description in RNAcentral is "partial 23S ribosomal RNA". It matches the Rfam family "Bacterial large subunit ribosomal RNA", at positions 824 to 1230 of the family's 2925-position model. Lineage: Bacteria; Pseudomonadati; Pseudomonadota; Gammaproteobacteria; Enterobacterales; Enterobacteriaceae. The record is from RNAcentral.
AAAGGCCAAUCAAACCGGGAGAUAGCUGGUUCUCCCCGAAAGCUAUUUAGGUAGCGCCUCGUGAAUUCAUCUCCGGGGGUAGAGCACUGUUUCGGCAAGGGGGUCAUCCCGACUUACCAACCCGAUGCAAACUGCGAAUACCGGAGAAUGUUAUCACGGGAGACACACGGCGGGUGCUAACGUCCGUCGUGAAGAGGGAAACAACCCAGACCGCCAGCUAAGGUCCCAAAGUCAUGGUUAAGUGGGAAACGAUGUGGGAAGGCCCAGACAGCCAGGAUGUUGGCUUAGAAGCAGCCAUCAUUUAAAGAAAGCGUAAUAGCUCACUGGUCGAGUCGGCCUGCGCGGAAGAUGUAACGGGGCUAAACCAUGCACCGAAGCUGCGGCAGCGACGCUGAUGCGUUGUUGGGUA